GCGCCUGUAGCUUAGUGAGAAGAGCGUCUGAACGUUAUUUCCGAUUUCCCACCGGGGGUCCCGGGUUCAAAUCCCGGCAGGAGCC
Non-coding RNA from Chytriomyces cf. hyalinus JEL632, 85 nucleotides. The record is from the annotation of a GenBank genome assembly. Lineage: Eukaryota; Fungi; Chytridiomycota; Chytridiomycetes; Chytridiales; Chytriomycetaceae.